Molecule: ribosomal RNA, 476 nt
Filed under: uncultured bacterium
Lineage: Bacteria
Description: bacterial SSU rRNA
Rfam family: Bacterial small subunit ribosomal RNA
Source: RNAcentral
ACUCCUACGGGAGGCAGCAGUGGGGAAUAUUGCACAAUGGGCGCAAGCCUGAUGCAGCCAUGCCGCGUGUAUGAAGAAGGCCUUCGGGUUGUAAAGUACUUUCAGCAGUGAGGAAGGCAGGUACGUUAAUAGCGUGCUUGUUUGACGUUAGCUGCAGAAGAAGCACCGGCUAACUCCGUGCCAGCAGCCGCGGUAAUACGGAGGGUGCGAGCGUUAAUCGGAAUUACUGGGCGUAAAGCGCAUGCAGGUGGUUUGUUAAGUCAGAUGUGAAAGCCCGGGGCUCAACCUCGGAAUUGCAUUUGAAACUGGCAGACGUAGAGUACUGGUAGAGGGGGGUAGAAUUUCAGGUGUAGCGGUGAAAUGCGUAGAGAUCUGAAGGAAUACCGGUGGCGAAGGCGGCCCCCUGGGACAGAUACUGACACUCAGAUGCGAAAGCGUGGGGAGCAAACAGGAUUAGAUACCCUGGUAGGAUAGCG